GAUGAACGCUAGCGGCAGGCUUAAUACAUGCAAGUCGAGGGGCAGCAUGGUGUAGCAAUACACUGAUGGCGACCGGCAAACGGGUGCGGAACACGUACGCAACUUACCCAAAACUGGGGAAUAGCCCGGGGAAACCCGGAUUAAUACCUCGUAAGAUAAUGAAGUGGCAUCACUUUGUUAUUAUAGCUCCGGCGGUUUUGGAUGGGCGUGCGCCUGAUUAGGUAGUUGGCGGGGUAACGGCCCACCAAGCCUACGAUCAGUAACUGGUGUGAGAGCACGACCAGUCACACGGGCACUGAGACACGGGCCCGACUCCUACGGGAGGCAGCAGUAAGGAAUAUUGGUCAAUGGGCGAGAGCCUGAACCAGCCAAGUAGCGUGAAGGAUGACUGCCCUACGGGUUGUAAACUUCUUUUGUUUGGGAAUAAAAGACGCUACGUGUAGCGUUCUGCAUGUACCGUUAUGAAUAAGCAUCGGCUAAUUCCGUG
This 487-nucleotide ribosomal RNA is filed under the name uncultured bacterium. RNAcentral's name for it is "bacterial SSU rRNA". It matches the Rfam family "Bacterial small subunit ribosomal RNA", at positions 28 to 507 of the family's 1533-position model. The record is from RNAcentral.